UUUCUUAGGUAAAAGCAGAAUACAAAAAUAAACUAUGGAAUUAAAAGUGCAAAAACAACAUGGAAAAGUUAGUUAAGAAUUCUGUAUUUUUAGCCCAUUUUUAUAAAUCGCCAUAUACUUGAUAUAACUUGAAUUGGGAUAGUAUACCUCAAAUCAGCUCCAUCUCCCUCAUGAAUAUUUGUGUAAAGGGAAGUCAGAGUGCGCAGAACACCCCUCAAGCGCACAUACGGCAGAUUCCUCCGGUACCAAUGUGUUGUUCCAUUCAAAUCAAUUUAUUUUGUAGCACCCGAAAUUACAAAUUAGCGCCAGUGAGCUUUACAGUCUGUAAACAUGCAACAUCCUCUGUCCCAAAACCCUCAUAUUGACAUGGAAAAAAAGCCUGGGAGAACAGCAGAGGUCUACAGAAUGAAAAACUUAAAGAUGUACAGUACAUUCAACAUAAAUUAUUCAAAUAUUGAGAUUCGUAAGCCAGGUGUAAGACGGGACCACUGCAGGAACAACCUCCAUCAUGUAAGUUAUUUCGGUUAUUUCGCUUCAUGCUCCUGAAAGGGGGCGUGGCUCAUCGCCGGUACUUGUCUCCAUAAAAGACAGCUAUCGUUUCCGCUAUCCACCGUGGCAAUAAACAUCCGCCAUUUCUGCUGUCUCUAUUUGUUUGUGUGAAUUACACAAACGUCGGAACCGCCGGAUUUUGUCGAGGGUGGCCAUACGACCGACAUGGGGGGCGGGGGCGCUGCGGGGAACGCCACGUACCGUCGUGGAGGUUGAAGAGGAACCAACGCGGCUCUGACCGAGGGCCGUGUUUCUCAGCGUGAGAUAUUGGGUGUGUGCGUGUGAAAACAUGCAAACGCGUGAGUCACACGGCGGAGAGGCUGGCAAGGGAACAUCUGUAGCCUCUUCAGGGGACAGCAACCGAACAACCGGUAUGGAAAUACAGCGUCACAACAACACAGCUGUGUGCUGUGAGAAUCAACUCUAUCCAGUGGCAGAGCUCUCAUAUUGUGGAGAGAAGGCUUUCAACCCAGAAGAAGCCACUUGUUGCCCAUAUGAAAAUGGAAGCACCAUAACAGAGGGCCUUAGUGAAAAGGUGUCAGCUUGCUGUGGACUGAAGGCAUACGACCAGCUCAAUCAAAUAUGCUGUCACGGAACCAUCCUAGUCAAACCUGGGCCAAACGCCCAAUGUUGUGAUAAAAAGGCUUUUGAUGUCGACGAGCAGAUGUGUUGUGGACCGCUGACCAAUAAGACAAUCCUAACAAAAGAAUCCUCAGACCACCGAUGCUGUGGACAAAACAGUUUUAACCCAACGACUCAAUGCUGCUGUUCGAUAAAUGAAAGUCUAAGCAUAUGGUCCAAGGAUUCCAGCUGCUGCGAGAAGGCUGACUGUGGACAGAACACCUACAACACAAGCGACAAACUAUGCUGUCAAUCAACGGUUGUUAGCAAAAAUGUAUCAAAUGCCCAAUGCUGUGGUAAACAGGCGUUUAAUAACGACACACAAUUGUGUUGUGGUCCUUCUGAUGACAAGAUAAUCCUGGAGAGAAUCUCUAUUGACCACCUCUGUUGUGGACGUAACCGGUUCGACACCAACAAGGAGUGCUGCUGUUUGACAAAGGAAGGUCUUCAGAUACAACAGAUCAAUUCCAGCUGCCGUCGGGAUCAGGGUCAAUCUUCUGAUGCCACUGCUGUGUUUAACCCACACAUAGGUGUCUGCUGUGGACGCUGUGUGUCUGAUUGGAACCCUUCGACAGAUCAACUUCAUGGCCCGCCUGGACAACAUAGCUGCAGGACGAAAGUUUAUCGGCCUCACGCGGGGAUCAUUUGCGAUGGACCAAGGACUCCUCACUUCUGUGGGUCAAAAGCCUACGACAUUAAAGACCCAGGAAUGAAGUGCUGCGCAGGAACAUUGCACAACCUCACUCAAGUACCAGAGGCGCAGUGCUGUGGCUCCAUCCUGCAAAACAAACCGAACGUAUGCUGUUUGAGUGAGCACAUGGAGGUGCUCUACUCCAACAAGACGAAAUUUGAAUGCUGUGGUCACCUCUACUACAACACCUCCCUAUGGUCAUGCUGUGCAGGGACGCUGAGCGCUGUGCCUCCACGAGGACAGCAUCCGAAAUCCAUACUUCGAUCUUUGGGCAAUUUGAAUGAGACGGAUCUUUGUGGCAAACUGCAAGUCGGGAUUGUGGAAAGGGACGGCCUGAAUGGGAUCGUAUUCAACAGUGUGUUGAUAAUCCAUGGAAGGAAUGGCAGUGUGAUACCCAGGAGCGGGCUUCACACCCUGAGUACAGGAACCGAUGGCUGCAGCAACGCAAAACUGGUCCCUGGGAAGAGCUACUUCUUUGAUGACGUUAAAGUAAAUGUCUUCACAGAUCUCAACCACGACUCUAUUCUCCAGUCCAUCUAUUUCAUUAUUUCUAAGUGUCAUACGAAUAUAUAAGAUUAUAGACUUUAUGUUCAGGGUCGGACGAUUUACUAACUAAUCUAACAUGCAGCUAAUUUAUAGAUGUUGAGUUUUGGAUUAACACCAUUUGUUAAAAAACAACUGUGGAGUUAUCAAAAGCAAUAUUCCUUGUCUCUUAGCAGAGGACAGCCAUUAUCAAUUAUCAGGCUGGAGCUUGUUCACUAAGUCCACAUAUUAGUCUGUUAACUUAUGCACAUCAAUAAAACUACUCUCAAAUUGUGAAGUAGCAGAGCAUCAAAAGAAUUAUUAUAUACAAUGUCCAUGAAGUUCAUGACAGGAUGAUCUAAAUCUUUUGCAUAACUGGUGGUUGCAAUUACCAAUGUUUAGUAAUCACCGCAAGAUGGUGACACUCAUCACGGUGAACUAUUUGUUUUCAAGAUUAAUGUUUGUGUGAUUAAUGUGUCUGUGAUUUUAAUAAGCUAAUAAGCUAAACAGCUAUUAGAACAUGUGUUUUCAUUUUUGGAACAUUAUGCUCUAUUUUGGAUUUUUAAAUUUGCACAAAACUACAUUAAUAGUGAGUCACUCAUGAAAAUGUAUGUUUGAAUAUAAAUGACAGGAUUUGUCACAUUAUGUGUCACAUGUGCUAAACAAAGCUGAAAGACCAAUCACUUAAAUAUUAAGCUGUGGUGCAUUGAAUUUCUAUGGUGCGUUGAAGUUAUAUUUCUUAACAAUAUGUAUGUUACCCAUAGUUCCAUGUUCCUGUAGCUAGGAACAUGGCAUUAGUAUGAAGGUACUUUUCCAACUUUGAGCGUUUUGCCAUCGCCUUAGUGUGGCCUAAAGGAUUCUGGACACUGCUUUUGCAGUGUGUACUGACCGGUAGAGCUCAGGAGGCUUAUUCAUCUUUAACUCUGACUCAAAAUAUAGUUGUUUUAAUGUUCAUUCAUGUACUGUAUUUUUCAUUUUACAAAAACUAUUUUCUAUAUCUUUGUACGUUUAGUUUCUUGUUUUAAGCAGUGUCAACACAUAAUGCAUGUUUUAGUAUGUUCUAUAUCUAUGCAUGACACAGCCACAUGUAGGUGCUUUAUGUUAGAUUCAUUUUUGUCAUUAAAAGCAAUUGUUAGAAAACCUGUUGUUUCUUACUUAAUUGAAACUUUAGUUUGGGUGCUGGAGGCUUAUAGUAAAUUCCUUCAAGUUGGUUUUCUUAGUCUAUCAUUAUAAGACAAAGCAGUACCACCACCAAUAUGUAAUUGACGAGCUGAGUUUUUACAAAUGUUACAGAAGAAAAUAACUGAAAAAAAUCAAUUGUAUUGCUAAAUAUAUUUAAUCAAAU
Molecule: long non-coding RNA, 3728 nt
Organism: Gasterosteus aculeatus aculeatus (three-spined stickleback)
Lineage: Eukaryota; Metazoa; Chordata; Actinopteri; Perciformes; Gasterosteidae
Source: Ensembl